This 71-nucleotide transfer RNA is filed under the name Paenibacillus sp. PDC88. RNAcentral's name for it is "tRNA_Met_CAT". It matches the Rfam family "tRNA". Rfam says of the family: Transfer RNA (tRNA) molecules are approximately 80 nucleotides in length. Their secondary structure includes four short double-helical elements and three loops (D, anti-codon, and T loops). The record is from RNAcentral. Lineage: Bacteria; Bacillati; Bacillota; Bacilli; Caryophanales; Paenibacillaceae.
CUGGGUAUAGAGGAGCGGUUCCUUGACUGGCUCAUAACCAGUAGACGCGGGUUCGAAUCCCGCUACCCAAA